GGACGGCAGGUAGACUAGUGGUUAGAGUGUAGGGACGGCAGGUAGCCUAGUGGUUAGAGUGUAGGGACGGCAGGUAGCCUAGUGGUUAGAGUGUAGGGACGGCAGGUAGCCUAGUGGUUAGAGUGUAGGGACGGCAGGUAGCCUAGUGGUUAGAGUGUAGGGACGGCAGGUAGCCUAGUGGUUAGAGUGUAGGGACGGCAGGUAGCCUAGUGGUUAGAGUGUAGGGACGGCAGGUAGUCUAGUGGUUAGAGUGUAGGGACGGCAGGUAGUCUAGUGGUUAGAGUGUAGGGGCGGCAGGUAGUCUAGUGGUUAGCGUGUAGGGGCGGCAGGUAGACUAGUGGUUAGCGUGUAGGGGCGGCAGGUAGACUAGUGGUUAGCGUGUAGGGGCGGCAGGUAGCCUAGUGGUUAGUGUUUGACUGGUAACCGGAAGGUUGCAAGAUCGAAUCCCUGAACUGACAAGGUACAAAUCUGUCGUUCUGCCCCUGAACAAGGCAGUUAACCCAC
Molecule: long non-coding RNA, 504 nt
Filed under: Salmo salar (Atlantic salmon)
Lineage: Eukaryota; Metazoa; Chordata; Actinopteri; Salmoniformes; Salmonidae
Description: lncRNA (ENSSSAG00000100719.1)
Source: RNAcentral